RNAcentral lists this ribosomal RNA (619 nucleotides) under uncultured marine bacterium. RNAcentral's name for it is "bacterial SSU rRNA". It matches the Rfam family "Bacterial small subunit ribosomal RNA", at positions 879 to 1497 of the family's 1533-position model. The record is from RNAcentral.
AGUACGGUCGCAAGAUUAAAACUCAAAGGAAUUGACGGGGACCCGCACAAGCGGUGGAGCAUGUGGUUUAAUUCGAUGCAACGCGAAGAACCUUACCUGGUCUUGACAUCCUGCGAACUUUCUAGAAAUAGAUUGGUGCCUUCGGGAACGCAGUGACAGGUGCUGCAUGGCUGUCGUCAGCUCGUGUCGUGAGAUGUUGGGUUAAGUCCCGUAACGAGCGCAACCCCUAUCCUUAUUUGCCAGCACAUCAUGGUGGGAACUAUAAGGAGACUGCCGGUGAUAAACCGGAGGAAGGCGGGGACGACGUCAAGUCAUCAUGGCCCUUACGACCAGGGCUACACACGUGCUACAAUGGGAAGGACAAAGAGCCGCGAAGCCGCGAGGUGUAGCUAAUCUCAUAAACCUUUUCGUAGUCCGGAUUGGAGUCUGCAACUCGACUCCAUGAAGUCGGAAUCGCUAGUAAUCGUAGAUCAGAAUGCUACGGUGAAUACGUUCCCGGGUCUUGUACACACCGCCCGUCAUACCAUGGGAGUGGGUUGCACCAGAAGUGGCUAGUCUAACUUUAUUGAGGACGGUCACCACGGUGUGAUUCAUGACUGGGGUAAAGUCAUAACAAGGU